Molecule: non-coding RNA, 27 nt
Filed under: Mus musculus (house mouse)
Lineage: Eukaryota; Metazoa; Chordata; Mammalia; Rodentia; Muridae
Source: RNAcentral
CGUGCUGGAAUGUCUUUGGACCGGAGA